Molecule: transfer RNA, 70 nt
Filed under: Notoscopelus elongatus kroyeri
Lineage: Eukaryota; Metazoa; Chordata; Actinopteri; Myctophiformes; Myctophidae
Description: tRNA-Pro
Rfam family: tRNA
About the family: Transfer RNA (tRNA) molecules are approximately 80 nucleotides in length. Their secondary structure includes four short double-helical elements and three loops (D, anti-codon, and T loops). Further hydrogen bonds mediate the characteristic L-shaped molecular structure. tRNAs have two regions of fundamental functional importance: the anti-codon, which is responsible for specific mRNA codon recognition, and the 3' end, to which the tRNAs corresponding amino acid is attached (by aminoacyl-tRNA synthetases). tRNAs cope with the degeneracy of the genetic code in two manners: having more than one tRNA (with a specific anti-codon) for a particular amino acid; and 'wobble' base-pairing, i.e. permitting non-standard base-pairing at the 3rd anti-codon position.
Source: RNAcentral
CAGGAUGUAGUUUAAUUAAGAGCAUCGGCUUUGGGUGCCGGAGGUGGGAGUGUAAGUCUCGUCGUCCUGA